AUGGCGGCGGAGACGUGCGGUCACCAUCACCACUGGUCGGGCUGGAGGAUUGGGGGAGGUUCCCAGUUCGUUCCUCUGAAAAUUAUGCACACCAAUGGCGGCGGCGCAGCGCGUUCGCUCAGCCUCGACCUCUCCCCGGCCAAAUGGGCGCCGCUGGUAUUUCUCUUCCUCCUGCUCAUUGACGGCGCCCUGUUUGCCGCGUCUGCCACCACGGACACCAUCCUCCCCGGCGAGGGCAUCUCCGGGAACGAGACCCUGGUCUCCAGGAGCGGCGGCUUCGACCACACGGAGGGCCCGAACAGUACCGAGUUCUUGCAGUUCCAUCUGGGGCAAGUCAGCCUGAUGCGGUACUCGGAGCCGGAUCACGCCGCAAACGGCACCGGUGGCUGGGUCGCUCGCUGGUCCUUCCCUUCCGAUUGCAAAUCCGGCGGGUUCUUCUGCGGCGACUUCGGCGCCUGCACAGGCAGCGGGAAGUGCGGCUGCGUGGACGGGUUCACGCCGUCGUACCCGAUUGAGUGGGGGCUUGGGUACUUCGCCAACGGCUGCUCGAGGUCUAUCCCGCUGAGCUGCGAGUCCGGCGGCCAGACGGAGCACGACGACUCCUUCGCCCCGUUGGACAAGCUGCAAGGGCUUCCUUACAACGCCCAGGACGAGGUGGCCGGAACCGACGAAGACUGCAGAGCGGCUUGCCGGAGCAAAUGCUACUGCAUCGCCUACUCGUAUGGCCAUGGAUGCAAGCUAUGGUAG
RNAcentral lists this ribosomal RNA (747 nucleotides) under Triticum aestivum (bread wheat). RNAcentral describes it as "partial small subunit ribosomal RNA". Lineage: Eukaryota; Viridiplantae; Streptophyta; Magnoliopsida; Poales; Poaceae. The record is from RNAcentral.